GACGAACGCUGGCGGCGCGCCUAACACAUGCAAGUCGAACGAGCGAGAGAGAGCUUGCUUUCUUGAGCGAGUGGCGCACGGGUGAGUAACGCGUGAGGAACCUGCCUCAAAGAGGGGGACAACAGUUGGAAACGACUGCUAAUACCGCAUAAGCCCACGGUGCCGCAUGGCACCGAGGGAAAAGGAGCAAUCCGCUUUGAGUUGGCCUCGCUUCCGAUUAGCUAGUUGGGGAGGUAACGGACCACCAAGGCGACGACCGGUAGCCGGACUGGGAGGUUGAGCGGCCACAUUGACACUGGGACGCAGCCCAGACUACUGCGGGAGGCAGGAGUGGGUAAUAUAGCACAAUGGGGGGAACCCUGAUGCAGCGACGCCGCGAGAAGGAAGAAGGUCUUCGGAUUGUAAACUCCUGUUGUUGGGGAAGAUAAUGACGGUACCCAACAAGGAAGUGACGGCUAACUACGUG
Molecule: ribosomal RNA, 466 nt
Filed under: uncultured bacterium
Lineage: Bacteria
Description: partial 16S ribosomal RNA
Rfam family: Bacterial small subunit ribosomal RNA
Source: RNAcentral